UUUGUUCAAAGGCUAGAGGGAAGAGUUUAAUAAUCUCUCUCUUGUUGCCAUGAACACCAUCAUCAGAGAUGAUCGGCUCUGCACUCUUGGUUCUUGAUCUGAAACAACAAACCUAGAAAUGUCAAAAAGAGUUGAAUAUACAGCAGAUACCAUUCAGGCCCUUUAAAGGUUUAGAUUACAACCCUGAUAAAACAUUCCUUUAAAGGUUUAGAUUACAACGUUGAUUAAACAUUCUUUUAAAGGUUUAGAUUACAACCCUGAUAAAACAG
Molecule: long non-coding RNA, 269 nt
Organism: Oncorhynchus tshawytscha (Chinook salmon)
Lineage: Eukaryota; Metazoa; Chordata; Actinopteri; Salmoniformes; Salmonidae
Source: Ensembl